AGUGAACGCUGGCGGCAGGCCUAACACAUGCAAGUCGAACGGAAGAACAGUACGUGCUUCUGGUUCCAGGGGGGGAAGGGCGGGCGGUACAGGAGAAUAUCCCGAUCUGCAUUUUCGGAUGGGCGUAGGAAGGGGGUAAUACGACAUUAUCGCAUACGGCGUACGGGUGGGAUCUGGGGAUCUUUUGCUCUUUGGGGAUUGUAUGCGGCUUUGUCGGAUUAGUGUGUUGGAGGGGUACAGGCCCACCAAGGCGUCGAUCCGUAGCUAGUCUGAGAGGAUGAUCAGCCACACUAGAACUGAGACACGGUCCAGACUCCUAAGGGAGGCAGCAGUGGGGAAUAUUGGAGAAUGGGCGAAAACCUGAUCCAGCCAUGCCGCGUGUGUGAAGAAGGCCUUCGGGUUGUAAAGCCCUUUUGGUGGGAAAGAAAAGCAGGAGGUUAAUACCGCGCUGUUGUGACGGUACCAAAAGAAGAAGCACCGGCUAACUUCGUG
RNAcentral lists this ribosomal RNA (492 nucleotides) under uncultured bacterium. RNAcentral describes it as "partial 16S ribosomal RNA". It matches the Rfam family "Bacterial small subunit ribosomal RNA", at positions 29 to 507 of the family's 1533-position model. The record is from RNAcentral.